RNAcentral lists this ribosomal RNA (1656 nucleotides) under Triticum aestivum (bread wheat). RNAcentral's name for it is "partial small subunit ribosomal RNA". The record is from RNAcentral. Lineage: Eukaryota; Viridiplantae; Streptophyta; Magnoliopsida; Poales; Poaceae.
AUGGGCUCCGCCUCCGCGGCCUCCCUCCCGACCUCCGCCGGCGCCGGCGAGAACCUGGUCCUCAUCCUCGACUUCGGCUCGCAGUACACCCACCUCAUCACCCGCCGCGUCCGCCAGCUGGGGGUCCUAUCCCUCUGCGUCUCCGGCACCGCGCCGCUCUCCUCCCUCGCGGGGCUGCGGCCCCGCGCCGUCGUGCUCUCCGGCGGGCCCCACUCGGUCCACGCCGAGGGGGCGCCCUCCUUCCCCGAGGGCUUCCUCGACUUCGCCGCGGGCGCCGGCGCGCACGUCCUCGGCGUCUGCUACGGGAUGCAGCUCCUCGUCCAGACCCUCGGCGGCGCCGUCGAGCCCGGCGUAAGGCAGGAGUACGGGGACAUGGAGGUGGAGGUCACCGCGCCCUCCUCCGCGCUGUACGGGGAGCAGGGGAAGCGGCAGUCCGUGUGGAUGAGCCAUGGCGACGAGGUCGUCAGGCUGCCCGAGGGGUUCGAGGUUGUGGCCCGCAGCGUGCAGGGCGCAAUCGCCGCCAUCGAGCACCGGGAGAAGCGCUUCUAUGGGCUCCAGUACCACCCGGAGGUGACACAUUCGCCCCAAGGAAUGGAAACACUGCGCCACUUUCUUUUUGAUGUUUGUGGGAUUAAAGCCGACUGGAAGAUGCAAGAUGUACUGGAUGAGGAAAUUAAGACCAUCAAGAGUAUGGUUGGGCCUGAUGAACAUGUGAUUUGUGCGUUAUCAGGAGGAGUUGAUUCAACAGUUGCAGCCACUCUUGUUCAUAACGCAAUAGGGGAUAGGCUUCAUUGUGUUUUUGUGGACAACGGGCUAUUGAGAUACAAGGAGAAGGAACGUGUUAUGUCAACCUUCAACAGUGACUUGCACCUUCCUGUCACAUGUAUUGAUGCCUCGGAGAAAUUUCUUACCGAGUUAAAAGGAGUCAAAGACCCAGAGAUGAAAAGAAAGAUUAUUGGCAGGGAAUUCAUUGUUGUAUUUGAUGAAUUUGCUCACAUGUUAGAACAGAAGAUAGGGAAAAGACCUGAAUAUUUGGUUCAAGGAACAUUAUACCCUGAUGUGAUUGAAUCAUGCCCACCCCCCGGGAGCGGGAGGACACAUUCCCACACCAUCAAAAGCCAUCACAAUGUAGGUGGUCUUCCUAAAGAUAUGAAGUUGAAGCUCAUUGAACCACUGAAGCUCCUUUUUAAGGAUGAGGUUCGGAAGUUGGGAAGUAUCUUAAAUGUCCCAGAGUCAUUCUUAAAGCGACACCCAUUUCCUGGGCCUGGUCUUGCUGUACGUGUCAUAGGUGACGUUACAGCAGGCAAUGCUUUGGAGGUUCUUCGUCAGGUGGAUGAGAUUUUUAUUCAAGCCAUUAAAGAUGCAGGCCUCUAUGAUGAAAUUUGGCAAGCUUUUGCUGUGUUUUUGCCUGUCCAAACAGUUGGGGUCCAGGGUGACCAGAGAACUCACUCCCAUGUGGUUGCUUUAAGGGCAAUUACCAGUGAGGAUGGCAUGACUGCAAAUUGGUGUCCUUUUUCUUUUAAACCUGUCAGGUAUGAUUUUGAACGCCCGUUCCUGGUUGAUGUGGUGAAGAAGAUCUGCAAUAACGUGCGAGGCGUCAACCGUGUUGUCCUGGACGUAACAUCAAAGCCACCGGCGACAGUGGAGUGGGAAUAG